GGUUAAGUGACUAAGCGUACACGGUGGAUGCCUAGGCAGUCAGAGGCGAUGAAGGGCGUGCUAAUCUGCGAAAAGCGUCGGUAAGGUGAUAUGAACCGUUACAACCGGCGAUACCCGAAUGGGGAAACCCAGUGUGUUUCGACACACUAUCAUGUCAUGAAUACAUAGUGGCAUGAGGCGAACCGGGGGAACUGAAACAUCUAAGUACCCCGAGGAAAAGAAAUCAACCGAGAUUCCCCCAGUAGCGGCGAGCGAACGGGGAGGAGCCCAGAACCUGAAUCGGCUUGUGUGUUAGUGGAAGCGUCUGGAAAGUCGCGCAGCAAAGGGUGAUAGCCCCGUACACUAAAAUGCACAGGUCGUGAGUUCGAUGAGUAGGGCGGGACACGUGACAUCCUGUCUGAAUAUGGGGGGACCAUCCUCCAAGGCUAAAUACUCCUGACUGACCGAUAGUGAACCAGUACCGUGAGGGAAAGGCGAAAAGAACCCCGGCGAGGGGAGUGAAAUAGAACCUGAAACCGUGUACGUACAAGCAGUGGGAGCACCUUCGUGGUGUGACUGCGUACCUUUUGUAUAAUGGGUCAGCGACUUAUAUUUUGUAGCAAGGUUAACCGUAUAGGGGAGCCGUAGGGAAACCGAGUCUUAACUGGGCGAAUAGUUGCA
This 660-nucleotide ribosomal RNA is filed under the name Serratia marcescens. RNAcentral describes it as "partial 23S ribosomal RNA". It matches the Rfam family "Bacterial large subunit ribosomal RNA", at positions 1 to 704 of the family's 2925-position model. The record is from RNAcentral. Lineage: Bacteria; Pseudomonadati; Pseudomonadota; Gammaproteobacteria; Enterobacterales; Yersiniaceae.